CCAGACUCCUACGGGAGGCAGCAGUGGGGAAUAUUGCACAAUGGGGGAAACCCUGAUGCAGCGACGCCGCGUGGGUGAAGGAGUAUUUCGGUAUGUAAAGCCCUAUCGGCAGGGAAGAAGCAAGACGGUACCUGACUAAGAAGCCCCGGCUAACUACGUGCCAGCAGCCGCGGUAAUACGUAGGGGGCGAGCGUUAUCCGGAUUCACUGGGUGUAAAGGGAGCGUAGACGGCCAUGCAAGCCAGGGGUGAAAGCCCGGGGCCCAACCCCGGGACUGCCCUUGGAACUGCAUGGCUGGAGUGCGGGAGGGGCAGGCGGAAUUCCUGGUGUAGCGGUGAAAUGCGUAGAUAUUAGGAGGAACACCAGUGGCGAAGGCGGCUUACUGGACUGUAACUGACGUUGAGGCUCGAAAGCGUGGGGAGCAAACAGGAUUAGAUACCCCCGUA
This 445-nucleotide ribosomal RNA is filed under the name uncultured bacterium. RNAcentral describes it as "bacterial SSU rRNA". It matches the Rfam family "Bacterial small subunit ribosomal RNA", at positions 331 to 792 of the family's 1533-position model. The record is from RNAcentral.